GCGCAACAUCCCCAUCAUUCAUCAUACAACCGCCUCCUCUCCUCUCCUCUCCUCGCAUCUGUUUUUCUUUCUGCCUAUAAAUAAAUACUCGCAUUCUCUCGAUAACUCCUCCAUCUGCUUCCCACUGAUCUAUUAUCAAAAGAAACUGCUUCCUAUCUAUCUCAUCUCGCAAAUUUGCAAUGGGCAAAAAGAAGAACAACAACAACGACCACGACCACGAUCACAACAACGAAGGGGAGAAGAAGGAGUUAGUACAAAAGAAGGAAGGGGGCGACGGUAGAGACAAGGAGGGGGGAAAGAAUCCUCCGACCGUGGUUCUCAAGAUUGAAAUGCACUGCGAGGGCUGUGCAUCUAAGAUAACCAAAUUCGCUCGUGGCUUGGAAGGUGUGGAAAGCGUCAAAGCAGAC
This 407-nucleotide unclassified non-coding RNA is filed under the name Hevea brasiliensis (rubber tree). Lineage: Eukaryota; Viridiplantae; Streptophyta; Magnoliopsida; Malpighiales; Euphorbiaceae. The record is from RNAcentral.